This 504-nucleotide ribosomal RNA is filed under the name uncultured bacterium. RNAcentral describes it as "SSU rRNA". It matches the Rfam family "Bacterial small subunit ribosomal RNA", at positions 26 to 523 of the family's 1533-position model. The record is from RNAcentral.
AGAUUGAACGCUGGCGGCGUGCCUAACACAUGCAAGUCGAGCGGGUACAGGUGUAAGGCAAUACAUGCUGACGAGCGGCGAACGGGUGAGUAAUGCUUUGGAAUCUUCCCAGUAGUGGGGAAUAACCAGUCGAAAGAUUGGCUAAUACCGCAUACGUCUGUAAAGGGAAAGCGGGGGCUCGUAAGACCUCGCGCUAUUGGAUGAGCCAAAGUCGGAUUAGCUAGUUGGUGGGGUAACGGCCUACCAAGGCGACAAUCCGUAGCUGGUCUGAGAGGACGACCAGCCACACCGGAACUGAGACACGGUCCGGACUCCUACGGGAGGCAGCAGUGGGGAAUAUUGGACAAUGGGGGAAACCCUGAUCCAGCGACGCCGCGUGUGUGAAGAAGGCCUGCGGGUUGUAAAGCACUUUUAGUGGGGACAAAAGCUACGGAUUAAUACUCUGUGGUCUUGAUUUAACCCAAAGAAAAGCACCGGCUAACUCUGUGCCAGCAGCCGCGGUAA